Long non-coding RNA from Oncorhynchus masou masou (cherry salmon), 940 nucleotides. RefSeq lists it as uncharacterized. Lineage: Eukaryota; Metazoa; Chordata; Actinopteri; Salmoniformes; Salmonidae. The transcript has 8 exons. The record is from RefSeq and is a predicted model, not a curated record.
UCUUCAGUCAAGACGCUUGAAUGAGUGGUGUAGGCAAAUGAGAAAAAUAUGAAGACACGCGUUACAUAUAUGUCGGAAAAAAUACAUCCCAAAUGGGUUGGUAAUGCUUGUUAUAAAGACGGUGAGUGUGGCUGAGAGCUUACCCAAGUCACCAGAAGUUUGCAAGGGAAGUGGACGGGCGUCUCAAGCAGUGUAUCAUUUGAUGGUGAGUUUCUGGGGCACCUGGAGGUUGACAAAUAAUUCAAGUUAUUGAAAUCCUGGUUCGAUCCUUGGCUGUUUAACCGGUCGUGAUUGGGAGUCCCAUAGGGCAGCGCACAAUUGGUCCAGUAUCGUUAAAGUUUGGCAGGGAUUCCAUGACGUUUGUCUCCAGUGUUCUGUUCUGUGGGGGGGAAUUAGCUGAAUUGCAAUGAAUGCCAACUCCUGCAGGUGUUCAGCCAAUCGGUUCUGCUGCUCGAUGGCAGGGGCCAUUUUAAUUUGUCUGCUUGCUGCCAUUGUGGCAACAUAAGUUCUGCUGGGCCACAAGGUGGUUGAGGGUGUCAACAUCUUUGGAACAAAUGUUGAGUGUUGCUCCUUUGCCCUGCCAAGACCGCGGACUCCAGGAUUACUUGUAUAGGUUGACAGGACUUGGAGGAUCUUGACAUAGAUGGGAGAUUCUUCAAGAGCUUCAGUUGUGAAAUGAAAUGCUUAACGUAAGCAUUUAGUUGAUUGGGGGACUUUGCCUUAUGCUGUGUGUAUGAACAAUUUAUCUUGGCUUUGAUUCCCUGAUGUUGGCAAGACGACAAUCAAGGAAUUUCAUGGGCGAUAUGUGACACCCUCCUGCCAAAGGGUAACACUUUGACAACUGCUGAUGUAAACAGGAUAUUUAAUAUAAAGUCAAUUGCCACUUAUCAUGCAAUUUGUGCUUGCAGUGUUUGAAUAAAAUAAAAAAAGUUGUCAUCUG